Pelobates cultripes (western spadefoot toad) is the source of this 729-nucleotide non-coding RNA. Lineage: Eukaryota; Metazoa; Chordata; Amphibia; Anura; Pelobatidae. The record is from the annotation of a GenBank genome assembly.
UUUCAAUUCUGGAAGUCCCUCUAGUGGCUGUCUGGUAGACAGCCACUUGAGGAGGAGUUAACCCUCAGAAGUGAUUAUUGCAGUGUAUAAAAACUGCAAUAAUUACCACUGCAGGGUUAAGGGUGAUGGGAGUUUGCACCCAGACCACUUCAAUGAGCCGAAGUGGUCUGGGUGCCUACAGUGUCCCUUUAACUCAAAUGUUAAGCCAAAUAUCAGACAAAAAGCAUGGAUUGAAAAAAACAAAACAAAUAAAACUGAGAUAAUUGUUUUCUGAUAGACAAACUUUUUAUAUGACAAAACAAAAUCAAUAUAAGCAGUAAUAUAGAGAGGGAAGUUUCUUUCAAAUAUUUUUUAUUUUUUAAAUAUAUUGAAUUAUAUGAGAAAAAAAUAAUAAUAAACAAUGUAAUCAACUGUAUCAUGUAGUGGUCAUAAAUUUAAAUAAAGAUACAUAACCAAAAUAUAUUGGAGGAUUUCAGAAACUUGAAGCUGUUACAGUAAGUGUAUUAAUACUAUAAUGACCUAUAAGUUUCAGUUUUAAAACUAAGCUUUUAAUACUUAAAAGAAACAGAAGGAAAUCAGAAAUGCACGGACCUUGGUCAGUACUUCCUGUUCUAAUUUUCCAGUCUCUCCAUGACGGCAGCAUGUUAUCGUUCGGCCUGCUAUUGGUGAAGGCAUCUGUCAGGCAGCGCUCUCCAUACAGUGUAAACUUAAAGGACAAAUGUCACCUCA